AGUGAACGCUGGCGGUAGGCCUAACACAUGCAAGUCGAACGGCAGCACAGUAAGAGCUUGCUCUUACGGGUGGCGAGUGGCGGACGGGUGAGGAAUACAUCGGAAUCUACUUUUUCGUGGGGGAUAACGUAGGGAAACUUACGCUAAUACCGCAUACGACCUACGGGUGAAAGCAGGGGAUCUUCGGACCUUGCGCGAUUGAAUGAGCCGAUGUCGGAUUAGCUAGUUGGCGGGGUAAAGGCCCACCAAGGCGACGAUCCGUAGCUGGUCUGAGAGGAUGAUCAGCCACACUAGAACUGAGACACGGUCCAGACUCCUGCGGGAGGCAGCAGUGGGGAAUAUUGGACAAUGGGCGCAAGCCUGAUCCAGCCAUACCGCGUGGGUGAAGAAGGCCUUCGGGUUGUAAAGCCCUUUUGUUGGGAAAGAAAAGCAGCAGGUUAAUACCCCGCUGUUCUGACGGUACCCAAAGAAUAAGCACCGGCUAACUUCGUG
This 492-nucleotide ribosomal RNA is filed under the name uncultured bacterium. RNAcentral's name for it is "partial 16S ribosomal RNA". It matches the Rfam family "Bacterial small subunit ribosomal RNA", at positions 29 to 507 of the family's 1533-position model. The record is from RNAcentral.